This 664-nucleotide ribosomal RNA is filed under the name uncultured Actinomycetales bacterium. RNAcentral's name for it is "bacterial SSU rRNA". It matches the Rfam family "Bacterial small subunit ribosomal RNA", at positions 60 to 736 of the family's 1533-position model. The record is from RNAcentral. Lineage: Bacteria; Bacillati; Actinomycetota; Actinomycetes; Actinomycetales.
AGUCGAACGGAAAGGCCCUGCUUGCAGGGUACUCGAGUGGCGAACGGGUGAGUAACACGUGGGUGAUCUGCCCUGCACUUCGGGAUAAGCUUGGGAAACUGGGUCUAAUACCGGAUAGGAACCAUCUUUAGUGUGGUGGUUGGAAAGUUUUUUCGGUGUAGGAUGAGCUCGCGGCCUAUCAGCUUGUUGGUGGGGUAAUGGCCUACCAAGGCGGCGACGGGUAGCCGGCCUGAGAGGGUGUACGGCCACAUUGGGACUGAGAUACGGCCCAGACUCCUACGGGAGGCAGCAGUGGGGAAUAUUGCACAAUGGGCGCAAGCCUGAUGCAGCGACGCCGCGUGGGGGAUGAAGGCCUUCGGGUUGUAAACUCCUUUCGCUAGGGACGAAGCUUUUUGGUGACGGUACCUAGAUAAGAAGCACCGGCUAACUACGUGCCAGCAGCCGCGGUAAUACGUAGGGUGCGAGCGUUGUCCGGAAUUACUGGGCGUAAAGGGCUCGUAGGUGGUUUGUCGCGUCGUCUGUGAAAUUCUGGGGCUUAACUCCGGGCGUGCAGGCGAUACGGGCAUAACUUGAGUGCUGUAGGGGUAACUGGAAUUCCUGGUGUAGCGGUGAAAUGCGCAGAUAUCAGGAGGAACACCGAUGGCGAAGGCAGGUUACUGGGCAG